Molecule: ribosomal RNA, 653 nt
Filed under: Colletotrichum siamense
Lineage: Eukaryota; Fungi; Ascomycota; Sordariomycetes; Glomerellales; Glomerellaceae
Description: eukaryotic LSU rRNA
Rfam family: 5.8S ribosomal RNA (bases 186-339)
Source: RNAcentral
CCAAGGGAGGUAUUACUGAGUUACGCUCUAAACCCUUUGUGAACAUACCUAUAACUGUUGCUUCGGCGGGUAGGGUCUCCGUGACCCUCCCGGCCUCCCGCCCCCGGGCGGGUCGGCGCCCGCCGGAGGAUAACCAAACUCUGAUUUAACGACGUUUCUUCUGAGUGGUACAAGCAAAUAAUCAAAACUUUUAACAACGGAUCUCUUGGUUCUGGCAUCGAUGAAGAACGCAGCGAAAUGCGAUAAGUAAUGUGAAUUGCAGAAUUCAGUGAAUCAUCGAAUCUUUGAACGCACAUUGCGCCCGCCAGCAUUCUGGCGGGCAUGCCUGUUCGAGCGUCAUUUCAACCCUCAAGCUCUGCUUGGUGUUGGGGCCCUACAGCUGAUGUAGGCCCUCAAAGGUAGUGGCGGACCCUCCCGGAGCCUCCUUUGCGUAGUAACUUUACGUCUCGCACUGGGAUCCGGAGGGACUCUUGCCGUAAAACCCCCAAUUUUCCAAAGGUUGACCUCGGAUCAGGUAGGAAUACCCGCUGAACUUAAGCAUAUCAAUAAGCGAGGGGAAGGAAAAAAAACCAACGCCUUUAAAAAUAUAAUAUUUUCUAAAGACACUUCGUGCCUAGAUGGCUUUUUGCCAUAGAAGGUGGUAGAGGAAUAAU